RNAcentral lists this ribosomal RNA (1338 nucleotides) under uncultured prokaryote. Its description in RNAcentral is "partial 16S ribosomal RNA". It matches the Rfam family "Archaeal small subunit ribosomal RNA". The record is from RNAcentral.
AUUCCGGUUGAUCCUGCAGGAGAUUGCUGCUAUCUGAGUCCGACUAAGCCAUGCAAGUCAGGUCGUAAGACCGGCAAAAUGCUCAGUAACACGUAGUUAAUUUACCGUGUAGCAGAGGAUAACCUUGGGAAACUGAGGAUAAUACUCUAUAGAGAAUAUAAUCUGGAAUGAUGUAUUCUCCAAACGUAAGGCUAUACGAUAAGACUGCGGUGGAUUAGAUUGUUGGUAGGGUAAUGGCCUACCAAGUCUAAGAUCCGUACGGGCCUUGGAAGAGGUAACCCGGAGAGGGACACUGAGAUACUGGUCCCAGCCCUACGGGGUGCAGCAGGCGCGAAACCUUUACAAUGCACGAAAGUGUGAUAGGGGAACUCAAAGUGCCUAUACUAAGUAUAGGCUUUUGCCAAGUCAAAAUUGCUUGGCGAAUAAGUGGUGGGAAAGACUGGUGCCAGCCGCCGCGGUAACACCAGCGCCACGAGUGGUAAUCGGUUUUAUUGGGCCUAAAGCGUCCGUAGCAGGUUUAGCAAAUUACUUGUGAAAUCGAACGGCUCAACCGUUCGGACUGCAGGUAACACUACUAAACUAGAGACCGGAAGACGUUGGAAGUAUUUUCAAGGGGGAGCGGUAGCAUGCGAGAAUCCCUUGAGGACUACCUGUUGCGAAGGCGUCCAACAAUGACGGGUCUGACUGUGAGGGACGAAAGCUAGGGGACCGAACCGGAUUAGAUACCCGCGUAGUCCUAGCCAUAAACGCUGCGAGCUGGGUGUUGCACAAUCUACGGGAUUGUGCAGUAUCGUAGCGAAGGCGUUAAGCUCACCGCCUGGGAAGUACGGUCGCAAGACUGAAACUUAAAGGAAUUGGCGGGGGAGCACCACAAGGGGUGCGGCGUGCGGUUUAAUUUGAUUCAACGCAGAAAACCUCACCAGCAGCGACGGCAGGAUGAAAGUCAGUCUGAAGGUCUUACUUGACGAGCCGAGAGGUAGUGCAUGGCCGCCGUCAGCUCGUGCCGUAAGGUGUCCUGUUAAGUCAGGCAACGAGCGAGACCUGUGCUUACAAUUGCUAGCAGCUAUUUUAUAGGACUGAGCACAUUGUAGGGACUGCCUUGGAAACAAGGAGGAAGGUGCAGGCAACGGUAGGUCUGUAUGCUCCGAAUCUGCUGGGCUACACGCGCGCAACAAUGAUAAGGACAAUGGGCUGCGACUCCGAAAGGAGGAGCUAAUCCUCGAAACCUUAUCCAAGUCUAGCUUGAGGCUUGUAACUCAGCCUCAUAACACCGGAAUCCCUAGUAAUCGGGUUUCAUCAUGACCCAGUGAUAUGUGCCUGCUCUUUGUACUCACCGCC